CAGUAGCCGCGGUAAUACGAAGGGUGCAAGCGUUAAUCGGAAUUACUGGGCGUAAAGCGUGCGUAGGCGGUGAGUUAAGUCUGCUGUGAAAUCCCCGGGCUCAACCUGGGAAUGGCAGUGGAUACUGGCUCGCUAGAGUGUGUCAGAGGAUGGUGGAAUUCCCGGUGUAGCGGUGAAAUGCGUAGAGAACGGGAGGAACAUCAGUGGCGAAGGCGGCCAUCUGGGACAACACUGACGCUGAGGCACGAAAGCGUGGGGAGCAAACAGGAUUAGAUACCCGCGUAGUCCCUGUCUCUUAUAC
This 301-nucleotide ribosomal RNA is filed under the name uncultured bacterium. RNAcentral describes it as "partial 16S ribosomal RNA". It matches the Rfam family "Bacterial small subunit ribosomal RNA", at positions 509 to 807 of the family's 1533-position model. The record is from RNAcentral.